Canis lupus familiaris (dog) is the source of this 3371-nucleotide long non-coding RNA. RefSeq lists it as uncharacterized. The transcript is spliced from 6 exons. NCBI's taxonomy places the organism in Eukaryota, Metazoa, Chordata, Mammalia, Carnivora, Canidae. The record is from RefSeq and is a predicted model, not a curated record.
AUGCAACAAGAUGCUUCCAAUUACAAAUGAACCUUGUGUGUUCAAGUUCAGCAGGAACCGUACUUGAAAAUCAAUCCAUCAACAAAUAUUUAUUGAGUGUCCCUGAUGCACAUGUCCCUGGCUGGCAUAACACACUUUGUUAGAAGUUACUUCUAAUCAUUACCUAUGCUGAAAAGUAAUGGAUUUCUUUAGGAAAUGCAAUUUCUUAAGCGGUCUGUGUUCCCAUCUCUAGCCACCUACCCCACGUGGGCGUGCGCACUUGGCUGCUGCCUGUGUACACUCUCCAGCCACGUUGAUCCUCCUUCCCCACAAGCUGUUUAUAACCUGAUGUUACUCCUAUCAUCUUGAAAAACAGGGGUGAAAUUUGACCCCAUAUCUUCUUUCACUGCCACCCCAUUUCUCUGUUCUCCUUGAAGCUGCAACGUCUUCAAAGAGCCGACUGUUUCCCUUUGCACCUGGUCCUCCAUCUUUCUUCAAACCCAGUGAAGUUCAGCCUUCAUUGCACACCCGGAAGACAUGGCUCCUUUCAUGCUCCCUGGGAGCUUCAGGGUCAGCUCUUUCUUAGUGGUCUACCAACCACACUGGUGGUUCUCAGUCUUCUCUGUUGGAUUCUUCUCAUCUGGUCUCUGGUGUUGACAUCUCCCUCCUGAAUUUUAGGCUCACAAGAAGGUAUGAAGAUAGUAAAGAGAGUUCCUGUGGACCCUUCACCCUGCUUCCCCCAAUGAUGGCAACUUGUGGAGCCUAUGAUAGCAUUCAUCAAAACCAGGAGACUGACCUUUGAGCAAGGCCAUCAACAGGCUGCAGCCACACGGAGGAUGUGAACCAUUAUAGCUGUUGGACGAUGUGUGGGUUUUGAAGUGUGAAAGGCCCCCUCAGUUUCCAGGAUGCCCUGAACUGCUGAACUGUUUUGGCCCUGGCGCUCUGGGCAGUCACCUGAUGCAUCGCCUUCCAUCCUACUCAUGAGUGGGUGAAGAAUCUUUUCAUCCAUUCCUUGGAUAUUUGCAUAUUUUCUGGAAAUAUUUUUGCCAACUUCGGGCUCAUUGUUCCUUUCAUACUUAUUUGUAAACCACUGGAUGGCUAAACUGGUGAAUUCCCUCAAACCCUCUGCAAAUCCUCCACUCCAUCUCAAGUAUGCCUUGACUGGGAGAAGGCUCUGCCUGACUUCCAUUGUGCUUGUCCUUGGAUUCCAGAGUUUACAUGGUCACUGCAAUGAAUUGUGGCUCACAAUCAGCAGGAAGAUCGGGGCCCUGAUAUGGGGACAGACUGCAGUCCAGACUCUCCUCGCUGGUUUCCACAGAUGCCUUGGGCAUGUCUUGGGGUUAGCUCUAUGCCAACUUCUCAGUGGUUUUGGGGAACCCCCAACUCCUUCAACAUGGACAGUGAUACCUGGAGGGUAGUGGCACCAGUAGCCAACAGACCCAGGCCUGAAGUGUUCCCUUAAUCCACAAUGAUCAGAUUUGCUCACUUGAUUAUCUACUUGUUUCUUGCCUAACCUCCUUAGAGGGAGUGUGCCCAGCUUGCUCAGUGAGUGAUGUAAUCCAGCACCAAUAACUGGUGCUGGCAUCCAGAAGGAGCCCAAUGAUUGCUGAAUAAUGGAGGAACUCUAUUGGACUUUUUGUCUACUUUUCUCUCUUUUGGCCUUUAAAUGGAUAGAAUUUGUGACUUUUGUCUUCAGGCGGCCUGCUCUUGGAACCUGAACAGCAAGACACUAGGCUUCCCUGCAACCCAGCAAGCAGGAGAGAAAACCUCUAAUUUUACUGUGGGCCAUGCCUGGAAGGCAGGUGGUCAUCCAUGUUUCAACCCAAGACCUGCUGUUCUUGUGGAGCUUGGCUCCCUAAAGACUGACUCCCAGCCUCUCUCUGCUCAUCUGUACAAUGGGGCUGGGGUGGAGCCUCUGGCUCCCUGCUCUCAGAGCUCUAGAGCCCCACGGCUUGGGUGGAAUCUCAGCUUUCUUAUUAGGUGUAUCACCUUGAUACUUUGGUGCUUUGUGCUUGUUUCCUCUUCUGCAAAUGGGACAAAUAAGAGUAACUGCUUCAUAGGGUUGUGGCAAGCAUUGAAUAAGACUGCAUGGAAAGUGCCCACUUCCGAAAUUUGUGUCUCCAUGCCUUGGGAUCUCCGAGGUGGGAAUAACAAUCGUCCCAUGUUUGCUCCCAGGAGCAUUUAUUGGUUGUUUCCUGUACACCAACCAUCUGGACUGCCUUCUUUCAGCCUCCUACAAGCCUUCAGGAGUGACUACUAGUUGUCUUCUUGCUGACCCAUGAGGAAAAAAAGCUGCAGAGACUUGCCCAAGGUCACUGGCCUUGUUUUCAAUUGCUGCCAUUAGCAAAUGACCACCUAUUUAUCAGCUUAAAACUGCAAACAGUUAUUGUCUCACAGUCCAUUGGGGUCAGCUGGUCCUCUGCUCUCAGUGUCAGGUUGCUGAAAUCCAGGGGUUGGCAGGGCUGUGUUCUUGUCUGGGGGUCCUGGGGAAGAUCCCACUUUUAAGUUCAUUCAGAUUGUUGGCAGAAUUUAGUUCCACAUGGAUGUAGGACUGAAGUCCCGUUCUUAUUGACAGGGGGCGGGGGUUGGGGGACAUCCUCAGCUUCUGGAGGCCACCCACACUCUUUGGCUCCUGGCCCCCUUCAUGCCAGCAUUGGUGCUUACAUCUUUCUCAUGCUUCAAAUCUCUUUUCCCUCCCUGCUGCUUUAUCUCCUGACUUCUUCCCCUGCACCUUGGCCUUCCUCUUCUGCUUUGAAGGGAUCCAGUGAUUACAUUCGCCUCACCUAGAUAAUCCAGAAUACUUUUUUUUUAAUUAAAAAAAUUUUUUAGAGGUAGCAGCCAUCUAUUACUGCGCAUCAUGGCUGCCCUCAGACCGCUGGUGAAGCCCAAGAUUGUUAAAAAGAGGACCAAGAAGUUCAUCCAGCACCAGUCAGAUCGAUGUGUCAAAAUUAAGUGCAACUGGCAGAAACCCAGAGGCACUGACAAUAGGGUGUGCAGAAGAUUCAAGGGCCAGAUCUUGAUGCCCAACACUGGUUAUGGGAGCAAUAAGAAAACAAAGCACAUGCUGCCCAGUGGCUUCUGGAAGUCCACAAAGUCAAAGAGCUUCAAGUGCUGCUGAUGUGCAACAGAUCUUACCAUGCAGAGACUGCUCACAACGUAUUCUCCAAGAGGCAAAGCCAUUGUGGAAAGAGCAGUCCAGCUGGCCAUCAGAGUCACCAAUUCCAAUGCCAGGCUGCACAGCGGAGAAAAUGAAUAGACAGCUUAUGUGCGUGUUAUAUGUGUUAAUAAAACCAUAAAACUAUACAUUUUUUAAGGAAUAAUUUACUUUAGAAAGAGAGAGAGCCUGUAAGCGAGAGCACGAGCAAGGGGAGGGGCAGAGGGAGAGAAGCAGA